Molecule: ribosomal RNA, 430 nt
Filed under: uncultured bacterium
Lineage: Bacteria
Description: bacterial SSU rRNA
Rfam family: Bacterial small subunit ribosomal RNA
Source: RNAcentral
GUGGGGAAUAUUGCGCAAUGGGCGAAAGCCUGACGCAGCGACGCCGCGUGGAGGAUGAAGGCUUUUGGGUCGUAAACUCCUGUUAGGUGGGAAGAAAAGCCUGUUUCUAAAAUAGACAGGUACUGACGGUACCACCAGAGAAAGCACCGGCUAACUUCGUGCCAGCAGCCGCGGUAAUACGAGGGGUGUAAGCGUUAUUCGGAAUUACUGGGCGUAAAGGGUGCGUAGACGGCGCAUUAAGUCUGUUGUUAAAUUUUUCGGCCUAACCGAAAAGCUGCGAUGGAAACUGGUGUGCUAGAGAAUGAUAGAGAGAAGUGGAAUUCCCGGAGUAGCGGUAAAAUGCGUGGAUCUCGGGAGGAACACCAAUGGCGAAGGCAGCUUCUUGGCUCAUUUCUGACGUUGAGGCACGAAAGCGUGGGGAGCAAACAGG